This 923-nucleotide ribosomal RNA is filed under the name uncultured beta proteobacterium. RNAcentral's name for it is "bacterial SSU rRNA". It matches the Rfam family "Bacterial small subunit ribosomal RNA", at positions 117 to 1054 of the family's 1533-position model. The record is from RNAcentral. Lineage: Bacteria; Pseudomonadati; Pseudomonadota; Betaproteobacteria.
AUCGGAACGUGCCCAGUCGUGGGGGAUAACGCAGCGAAAGCUGUGCUAAUACCGCAUACGAUCUAUGGAUGAAAGCGGGGGACCGCAAGGCCUCGCGCGAUUGGAGCGGCCGAUAUCAGAUUAGGUAGUUGGUGGGGUAAAGGCCCACCAAGCCGACGAUCUGUAGCUGGUCUGAGAGGACGACCAGCCACACUGGAACUGAGACACGGUCCAGACUCCUACGGGAGGCAGCAGUGGGGAAUUUUGGACAAUGGGCGCAAGCCUGAUCCAGCAAUGCCGCGUGCAGGAUGAAGGCCUUCGGGUUGUAAACUGCUUUUGUACGGAACGAAACGCUCCUUUCUAAUACAAGGGGGUAAUGACGGUACCGUAAGAAUAAGCACCGGCUAACUACGUGCCAGCAGCCGCGGUAAUACGUAGGGUGCGAGCGUUAAUCGGAAUUACUGGGCGUAAAGCGUGCGCAGGCGGUUAUAUAAGACAGAUGUGAAAUCCCCGGGCUCAACCUGGGACCUGCAUUUGUGACUGUAUAGCUAGAGUACGGUAGAGGGGGAUGGAAUUCCGCGUGUAGCAGUGAAAUGCGUAGAUAUGCGGAGGAACACCGAUGGCGAAAGCAAUCCCCUGGACCUGUACUGACGCUCAUGCACGAAAGCGUGGGGAGCAAACAGGAUUAGAUACCCUGGUAGUCCACGCCCUAAACGAUGUCAACUGGGUUGUUGGGUCUUCACUGACUCAGUAACGAAGCUAACGCGUGAAGUUGACCGCCUGGGAGUACGGCCGCAAGGUUGAAACUCAAAGAUUGACGGGGACCCGCACAGCGUGGAUGAUGUGGUUUAUCGAUGCAACGCGAAAACUUACCCACUUGACAUGUACGAUCUUUAGAGAUAGAGGAGUGCUCGAAGAAGCGUACACAGUGCUGCAUGCUGUCG